This 398-nucleotide transfer-messenger RNA is filed under the name marine eukaryotic metagenome. It matches the Rfam family "transfer-messenger RNA". Rfam says of the family: Bacterial tmRNA, also known as 10Sa RNA or SsrA, is named for its dual tRNA and mRNA-like properties. Its role is to liberate the mRNA from a stalled ribosome. To accomplish this part of the tmRNA is used as a reading frame that ends in a translation stop signal. The record is from RNAcentral.
GGGGUCGACUGGUUUUGACAGCGAGACCAAUGAAAUAGUAAGCAUGUCGAGUGAUGAAAUUUGACUCGUAAAUCACAAUUUCAACUUUUUUAAACGGCGAAAAUAAUUACGCUCUUGCUGCUUAAUCUGAAUCAUAGUAAGAUUUAAGCCUCGUCUGACAAGGUCAGAAAGCAGGAUGUCUUCAGAAAGCGUUUGUUAACCGCGUUCUAUUUAAAGACAUCGUAAAAGUUAACAUAGGAAUAUUAGAACUUCGAUAAUAUUUCAACAAUCUUAGAAGAUAAGGAUAAUAUUGGCGGUUUUUGGUCUAUUAUUGUUUCGAAAAUUAAACAAAAACUACACCUGUAGAAAGCUAUUUUAUUGCUUGUUUGGACGAGAGUUCGAUUCUCUCCGACUCCACA